RNAcentral lists this transfer RNA (69 nucleotides) under Stylosomus ilicicola. Its description in RNAcentral is "tRNA-Gln". The record is from RNAcentral. Lineage: Eukaryota; Metazoa; Arthropoda; Insecta; Coleoptera; Chrysomelidae.
UACGUUUAAGUAUGAGUUGUAUAAGAAUUUUUGAUAUUUUAGGGGGCAGUUGAAUUCUGCCAAACGUAA